Molecule: small nucleolar RNA, 160 nt
Organism: Schizosaccharomyces osmophilus
Lineage: Eukaryota; Fungi; Ascomycota; Schizosaccharomycetes; Schizosaccharomycetales; Schizosaccharomycetaceae
Source: RefSeq, a predicted model, not a curated record
GAACAACGCUUAUUUAACAGAUACGAAGCAGGACUGUAGAUAAAUUUAGAUGAUACAGAAAUUACCUGUCUUAAAUGUAUACUGGAGAUCAAUUAGAGACGGUUGGGUGAGAUGUUUUUCAAAUUUAAUGGGAUUCACCUCAAUAACUGUUACUACAAUA